This 300-nucleotide ribosomal RNA is filed under the name uncultured cyanobacterium. RNAcentral describes it as "bacterial SSU rRNA". It matches the Rfam family "Bacterial small subunit ribosomal RNA", at positions 416 to 730 of the family's 1533-position model. The record is from RNAcentral. Lineage: Bacteria; Bacillati; Cyanobacteriota.
UCUUGGGUCGUAAACCUCUUUUAUCAGGGAAGAACACAAUGACGGUACCUGAUGAAUCAGCAUCGGCUAACUCUGUGCCAGCAGCCGCGGUAAUACAGAGGAUGCAAGCGUUAUCCGGAAUUAUUGGGCGUAAAGCGUCCGCAGGUGGUUUUGGUAGUCUGCUGUCAAAGCGCGAGGCUCAACUUCGUAUCGGCGGUGGAAACUCCAAGACUAGAGYUWGGUAGGGGUCACGGGAAUUCCCAGUGUAGCGGUGAAAUGCGUAGAUAUUGGGAAGAACACCAGCGGCGAARGCGCKUGACU